RNAcentral lists this transfer RNA (80 nucleotides) under Kozakia baliensis. RNAcentral's name for it is "tRNA-Pro". Lineage: Bacteria; Pseudomonadati; Pseudomonadota; Alphaproteobacteria; Acetobacterales; Acetobacteraceae. The record is from RNAcentral.
UAACGUCAUAUCGGGCGGGGACUGAGAAUGCUUUAGGAUAGCAUUGACCUUCAUUGCUUGUUCCUAACCAGGAUAUUACC